This is a long non-coding RNA of Mesocricetus auratus (golden hamster), 2594 nucleotides long. RefSeq lists it as uncharacterized. The record is from RefSeq and is a predicted model, not a curated record. NCBI's taxonomy places the organism in Eukaryota, Metazoa, Chordata, Mammalia, Rodentia, Cricetidae. The transcript has 3 exons.
UCGUUUAAAAAACUGCCACAGAGGAAGCUCCGAGAUUUCUCAGCAUUGUGGAGACCCGUGGACUCACUGCACACGAUGGUGCUCUGUGACUUCCCGGUCUUAAAUAAAGCAGCAUUGGCUUUUUCUGGGUGACAAGACUCCAAGAUUCCAGUCCCUUGAAAGCCUCUAGCGUGGCCACUGUGUGCAUCACUGAGAACUGUCGCCGGAAGCUUGGGCCACUCACUCUGCUUGGAAUUCGAUUCGGGCUUCCCAGGUUCCCAGAGUUCUCCAGGGACUGGGCUCUUUGACGAAUGGAAAGGAAAGGGCACUCACCUGCUCCUGUGAUCUUGCUUGCUUCACAACCGGGAACUGGUUACCUCUCAUUUUAGAUGCCCUGGCAUCACACUGAAAACUCACCAGGGGUCGGCAGAUGCCUCAGUGGCUAAAGGUACCUGCUACCAAGUCUGCGCACCCGAGGUCUGUCUCCUCAGCCUGUGUGGUCCCCACAGGUCUCAUACAGGGAUGCAAACUGUGGGAGAGGAGACUGAAAACCAUGUGUGAUUGACGUCGUCAACCUGGACGAGACUUCAGUCUUCUACCAAGAGUGCUACUCCAUGGCCUUGGCUUUAGUCGACAAAUAAAAAUCGAGAGCUCCUCAAGCUUCUCCUAGAUUUCCAGUGUUGACAUCCAGCUCAAUACGAGAAAGCUUUCAACUCUUGCAAAAUGAGCUUCUGAUACAGAUAAAAAAUGUUUGUUUGUUCUGGGUCUCUACAUCUCAACUCACCUGGGAACUGAAGAAUAACACUGCAUGACCGAGAGGUUCUACACUCCGGGAAAAAGGGAAAUGAGUACUCAACACGGUCCACGAUGGGGGCGUGUUGUUUCACAGGAUGGGAGAGAAACUGCGUGCAAAACACACUACACCACCAAUGAGCUUCCUGUCGACUGCACUUCCCAGAAAGGAACAGAAGUGACUUGUCAUCACAGAACACCCUCUCUAGGGACCCUGUCUUCUCUGCCAUAGUCUCUUGGUUUCCAGCUGCUGGCUUGCUUAUUUGUAAAUGACUCCAUAUGAUGCUGUCAGUUUCUAUCACAGUCACUAACUUUUUCCCUUGUGCCUUCUUCCCUAUUCCGAAGGCACAUGGAGAGCAGGCAGUACAUCGGGCAUUUCCUUUGGCUCCCUGAGAAAUAACACUUUGGCAUAAAAAGUUACUUACAAGUGCUAUUGAGAUUCAUGGCACUGAGAGAUAGAGUGAGUUCUGGCGAAGAUUUCACUCUGAGACACCAGCAGCUACCCUAAGAAGCCAACAUUUGGAAAGCAGUUAUAAAUGCAUAGUAGAAAGUAGGGGACAGAGGGCUGGGAGCAGAGGCAGCCAGCCAGAGGCCUGGGCCCUCUAAGCAGACAGCAAAACUUGGGGAGGUAGGAACUUGUCUUUGUUUAAGUAAGCAGUGACAGAGGGACAGGAUUUUUUUUCAUAAUAUGUUAAUCAGUGACUCCUAACUCGUUUUAUGGGCCCCGUUUAUCUAAGAGACAGUUUCACCCAGCCUCUUUCUUCUUUCCCACAUUAGCUGCCAUGUCAACUCUGCUUUAAGCCAACAAUACAGAAUAUAUAGAUUCAAAUGUUCAUACCUAUUUAUAACAGAUGUUCAGGAGCUGUAUGGGGACUUUUAGUUCUGAGCAGCUAUAUUAUUUGGUGAAACUGAAAUGCUUUUAUGACUGUCUGCCAUUUAUAAGGAAAACAUUUCUUAGUUCUUCAUAGAAAAAGAGCACUUUUUACUUAUUUCAAAAGAAGAUUUUUAUGCUCAGCAGCUACUGCUCAGGGUUGCAGUGGAAUGGCAGCACACAUUCAUCAACACAGAUUUACUGGACAAAUAUUUGGAAAGAAAACUUGGAAUCUGCUCUUUAUGUGACUUCAAGGGAACAGGGCACUGCCAUUACUCCGGUCACUGCCGUACAGUAGCCUUUAGAGCUUACUGGUCUUAUCUAACUGACAUGUGCCAGCUUUCGGUCAGAUUUCCCCUGCAGAGCACCCACCUCGACCCUGCACCAAACCCUACUACCCACUGCUCUGCUAACAAUCAGGUUUUAAUUGCCCUGAGGAAUACACUUCAGAGCGGUUCUGAAAGAAUAGAGGUUAAUAUAUUUGAAUGAACCAUUUUCAGAUUACCAUGCAAUUUCUGCCAUCUUAAUCAAAUCUAUAAGGAUAUGAUUAUACUGUAUUUUUAUUCUCACUCUUUUCCUGAAACUGUGAAACCAUAUUAGGGAUGGAUACUGUUUCCAGUGUUAUCUUUAGCAUUAUCAUCUUCAUUUUCAAAGUGAAACUUGGUUUUCCUGAAAUUGUCUUCUGAUGAGAACAUUUUAUUACAGAGCAGAAAGCGAACAUGUUGGAGCUGGGAGGAACAGUGUGGCUCUCUUAAGCCUUUCCUGAACAAAUGUCGUGGAAAGACAAGUAUUUGUUACAGCAUCAUGGGGGCAAAGGAAGCAUACAUUUUGUAAUCAAAAGACCUCGGUUGACAUCUUAUCUCUGAAAUCCAACUUGUAAAUGUUGCCUUAUCUAGAAAUUGAAUUAAGUGAAAGCAAUGCUCAAACUAAAAUAUAACAUUGAUUACAUGAA